RNAcentral lists this ribosomal RNA (351 nucleotides) under Calopadia subcoerulescens. RNAcentral's name for it is "SSU rRNA". It matches the Rfam family "Bacterial small subunit ribosomal RNA", at positions 370 to 759 of the family's 1533-position model. Lineage: Eukaryota; Fungi; Ascomycota; Lecanoromycetes; Lecanorales; Ectolechiaceae. The record is from RNAcentral.
AAUGGCCUAACGGCUGAACCAGCAACUUGGAAGAACGCAUAGCGAAAGCUAGUUGUUAGCAUCAAUUUAUUUGAAUAAAGUUCUGAUUAAUAUAAUGAUAAUGACAUAGAUUUCAUGUGUCUUGACCAAAUUACGUGCCAGCAGUCGCGGUAAUACGUAGUAGACUAGUGUUAUUCAUCUUUAAUAGGUUUAAAGGGUACCUAGACGGUAAAUCAAGCCUACUAAUUUAUAGAGUUACUUACGAGGGAGCUAAUAAGUACUGGUGUGUAGAGAUGAAAUUUUAUGAUACCUGACGGCACAGAUUAAGGCGAAAGCAUCUCCCUAUGUGAUAACUGCGUUGAAGGACGAAGG